RNAcentral lists this ribosomal RNA (663 nucleotides) under uncultured bacterium. RNAcentral describes it as "bacterial SSU rRNA". It matches the Rfam family "Bacterial small subunit ribosomal RNA", at positions 94 to 788 of the family's 1533-position model. The record is from RNAcentral.
AGUGGCGGACGGGUGAGUAACGCGUGAGCAUCUGCCUUCAGGAUGGGGACAACAGUUGGAAACGACUGCUAAUACCCAAUGUGCCUACGGGUGAAACCUUUUUUGGCCUGAAGAUGAGCUCGCGUCUGAUUAGCUAGUUGGUGGUGUAAUAGACUCACCAAGGCAACGAUCAGUAGCUGGUCUGAGAGGAUGAGCAGCCACACUGGGACUGAGACACGGCCCAGACUCCUACGGGAGGCAGCAGUGGGGAAUUUUCCGCAAUGGGCGAAAGCCUGACGGAGCAAUACCGCGUGAGGGAGGAAGGUUCUUGGAUUGUAAACCUCUUUUCUCAGGGAAGAAAAAAAUGACGGUACCUGAGGAAUAAGCAUCGGCUAACUCCGUGCCAGCAGCCGCGGUAAUACGGGGGAUGCAAGCGUUAUCCGGAAUUAUUGGGCGUAAAGAGUCCGUAGGUGGUCUCACAAGUCGACUGUCAAAGCCCGCAGCUUAACUGCGGAGAGGCGGUGGAAACUGUGAGACUAGAGUAUGGUAGGGGUAGAGGGAAUUCCCAGUGUAGCGGUGAAAUGCGUAGAUAUUGGGAAGAACACCGGUGGCGAAAGCGCUCUACUGGACCAUAACUGACACUGAGGGACGAAAGCCAAGGUAGCGAAAGGGAUUAGAUACCCC